CCUACGGGAGGCAGCAGUGGGGAAUAUUGCACAAUGAGCGAAAGCUUGAUGCAGCCAUACCGCGUGUGUGAAGAAGGCCCGAGGGUUGUAAAGCACUUUCAAUUGUGAGGAAGGUAGUGUAGUUAAUACCUGCAUUGCUUGACGUUAACUUUAGAAGAAGCACCGGCUAACUCUGUGCCAGCAGCCGCGGUAAUACAGAGGGUGCAAGCGUUAUUCGGAAUUACUGGGCGUAAAGCGCGCGUAGGCGGACUAUUAAGUCAGUUGUGAAAGCCCUGGGCUCAACCUGGGAACUGCAUCUGAUACUGGUAGUCUAGAGUUUAAGAGAGGGAAGUGGAAUUCCAGGUGUAGCAGUGAAAUGCGUAGAUAUCUGGAGGAACAUCAGUGGCGAAGGCGACUUCCUGGCUUAAAACUGACGCUGAGGUGCGAAAGCGUGGGUAGCGAACGGGAUUAGAUACCCCGGUAGUCCACGCCGUAAACGAUGUCAACUAGUUGUUGGUCUUAUUAAAAAGAUUAGUAACGAAGCUAACGCGAUAAGUUGACCGCCUGGGGAGUACGGUCGCAAGAUUAAAACUCAAAGGAAUUGACGGA
This 588-nucleotide ribosomal RNA is filed under the name uncultured bacterium. Its description in RNAcentral is "bacterial SSU rRNA". It matches the Rfam family "Bacterial small subunit ribosomal RNA", at positions 338 to 917 of the family's 1533-position model. The record is from RNAcentral.